Long non-coding RNA from Choloepus didactylus (southern two-toed sloth), 1219 nucleotides. RefSeq lists it as uncharacterized. The transcript has 3 exons. NCBI's taxonomy places the organism in Eukaryota, Metazoa, Chordata, Mammalia, Pilosa, Megalonychidae. The record is from RefSeq and is a predicted model, not a curated record.
CAUCACUCCUUAUCCUUGUUUUGCAUUUUCUUUUCUAUAUGGUUAUUAUCUUUCAAUGUGUGGCUGACCACUUGUAGUUUGUUGAAGAGUAAAAAAAAGAGGGAAAACAACAAGUACUUUUAAUAAGGCAUGGUUUUAUUGAUAUAUGUAUUUUAUAGGAGGCAAAAUUUAGAGCUCUAAGCACCCUCAGAUUUCACCCAAUUUCAAAGAAAUUUAGACAGCUAAUUGAAGAGCAGUUCUUAUUUGGUUUAGUACAUUUUAAACACGUCACAAACAGAAUGAUAUUUCAAAUUUUGGAAAGAUACAGUAUUGAAAUAUCCUUCUCUCUCACCUUGAAGUUGAACAUUUUAUCCCAAAUGGAAUUUUCAUGGGAAAAAAAGUGUGUCUACAUAUGUGUGGGAAGAAGAGAGACAGGCUUAUAGCCAUGUGGUUUUAACCAUCAAAUUCUUAGUGAUGAUAGGAGAUUUGAAAGGAAGACAGAUUGAAAGGAACCUGUUGUUUCCAGUAAGCACUUUGCUAUCUCUGUGACCUUGGUCCUAAAGUAGUGCCAGGCUAAUAGCUCCUAAGGGGAAGACACUGCACCGAGGAAGAGAAUGCUUUCAGUAUCCUUCUCCAUGAUGACGAAUAAGAAAGGGUGAUCACAAUGGAACUUUUCAUAUAUUGGUGCUGACGUUACAACUAUUUGUGUGCCGGUGGCAGCUGCCGCCUCCGUGCCCUCUUCAUUCACAUCCACAAAGGACUUGUGUAGAAUUUUAGAUACUUUGAGACCCCUUCCCCCAGUCAUGCCCGAGAAGUCGGCGUGGUUACUGAAGGCAUCCUGCAUCCCCAUGUCUCCCAGCUGGGUAUGGAGUUUGUAGCUCUCCUCCAGUUUGAACCGAGGUAAGUACAGAUCCACGUUUCUCUUCCUCAUAUUUGCUGAGCUCAUCCACUUGAUUAAUUUCUCAGCAGUGAGUUUAUCUUCAAGCUAUACAAUGGAAAAAAGGAACUGACAUGAUUAUCGAUAGAUAUUGAGCACAACUUAACAUCGGAUUGGAUCAGGAUCCCCAAUUUCCAGUGUUACCCAGUGCAGCAGAUUCAUUGCAGCUUCAGCAGCACCAUUGGCUGGUAUUGCAAAAGCAGCUGCCACUUUCAGAAUGCCUUUUAUACUCCAGGAUUUAUGGAUGCGGACCUGGCCCAGGGCCUUCGAGCUGCUGAUGGCAAGAAGAGUAGCUGGAGGAGA